This 253-nucleotide ribosomal RNA is filed under the name uncultured bacterium. RNAcentral's name for it is "partial 16S ribosomal RNA". It matches the Rfam family "Bacterial small subunit ribosomal RNA", at positions 524 to 776 of the family's 1533-position model. The record is from RNAcentral.
UACGUAGGGACCGAGCGUUGUCCGGAAUCAUUGGGCGUAAAGAGCGUGUAGGCGGUCAGGUAGGUCCGUUGUGAAAACUCGAGGCUCAACCUCGAGACGCCGAUGGAAACCAUCUGACUAGAGUCCGGAAGAGGAGAGUGGAAUUCCUGGUGUAGCGGUGAAAUGCGCAGAUAUCAGGAAGAACACCCGUGGCUAAGGCGGCUCUCUAGUACGGUACUGACGCUGAGACGCGAAAGCGUGGGGAGCGAACAGG